AGUGAACGCUGGCGGCAGACCUAAUACAUGCAAGUCGAACGGCAGCACAGCAGAGCUUGCUCUGUGGGUGGCGAGUGGCGGACGGGUGAGGAAUACAUGGGAAUCUGCCCAGUCGUGGGGGAUAACGUAUGGAAACGUACGCUAAUACCGCAUGCGCCCUACGGGGGAAAGCCGGGGACCGCAAGGCCUGGCGCGAUUGGAUGAGCCCAUGUUCGAUUAGCUAGUUGGCGGGGUAAAGGCCCACCAAGGCGACGAUCGAUAGCUGGUCUGAGAGGAUGAUCAGCCACACUGGAACUGAGACACGGUCCAGACUCCUACGGGAGGCAGCAGUAGGGAAUAUUGGACAAUGGGGGCAACCCUGAUCCAGCCAUGCCGCGUGAGUGAAGAAGGCCCUCGGGUUGUAAAGCUCUUUUGUCCGGAAAGAAAAGCAAUCGGUUAAUACCCGGUUGUUCUGACGGUACCGGAAGAAUAAGCACCGGCUAACUUCGUGCC
This 492-nucleotide ribosomal RNA is filed under the name uncultured bacterium. Its description in RNAcentral is "bacterial SSU rRNA". It matches the Rfam family "Bacterial small subunit ribosomal RNA", at positions 29 to 509 of the family's 1533-position model. The record is from RNAcentral.